Molecule: ribosomal RNA, 253 nt
Filed under: uncultured bacterium
Lineage: Bacteria
Description: partial 16S ribosomal RNA
Rfam family: Bacterial small subunit ribosomal RNA
Source: RNAcentral
UACGUAGGGGGCAAGCGUUAUUCGGAAUUAUUGGGCGUAAAGGGCGCGUAGGCGGCUAGAUGUGUCAAAGGUGAAAUCCCUCGGCUCAACUGAGGAACUGCCUUUGAAACUGUCUGGCUUGAGGCCGGGAGAGGGUAGCGGAAUUCCCAGUGUAGCGGUGAAAUGCGUAGAUAUUGGGAGGAACACCAGUGGCGAAGGCGGCUCCCUGGACCGGUUCUGACGCUGAGGCGCGAAAGCGUGGGUAGCAAACAGG